This 152-nucleotide ribosomal RNA is filed under the name Curvibasidium nothofagi. RNAcentral's name for it is "[Rhodotorula] nothofagi partial 28S ribosomal RNA". Lineage: Eukaryota; Fungi; Basidiomycota; Microbotryomycetes. The record is from RNAcentral.
AUCUCAUAUUCGAAAAUCGGAUUGACUCAGUGUAAUAGACUAUUCGCUGAGGACGCUCUUUCGGGAGUGGCCGAGUUUUGUAAAGUAGAAGCUUCUAAUUCUAUUAGUCAACUUUAGAUUAGACCUCAGAUCAGGCAGGAUUACCCGCUGAA